This 997-nucleotide unclassified non-coding RNA is filed under the name Caenorhabditis elegans. Its description in RNAcentral is "Non-coding transcript of protein-coding gene srh-240". Lineage: Eukaryota; Metazoa; Nematoda; Chromadorea; Rhabditida; Rhabditidae. The record is from RNAcentral.
AUGACUGAUUGUGGAAUUGAAAACUAUUAUUUUGCUAGUUCAGACUUUAUGAUUCUGGCUUGUCAUUGUUUAACUGCAAUUCAAGUGCCAGUAUUUGUGUUCGGGUCUUAUUGUAUUAUUUUUAAGACUCCAAAUCACAUGCUAACAGUAAAAUGGCUACUUUUCAAUACACAUAUUUGGAGUUCCCUGUCCGACUUCGUUAUUUGUUUCAUGACAGUUCCAUACCUAUUCCUUCCUGCUCUCGCUGGCUAUGACUUGGGACUAAUCAAUAAUCCAGGUCUAUCGAUUUAUCUUCUGGUCACUGUAACAGCAUGUGCUCUCGGGGGUCUCCGUGCUUUCAAUCUACGAAAACCGAUAUUUUAUCCUAUUCUGCAAAAAAUCUUGGUGGCGAAAAACGCGAAAAAUAUAUUUUUGCAUCAUUUACGGACUAGUACCUUUGAUGUUUGUAGCUCCAUUAUUUGAUAUACCUGAUCAGGAGGUUGCUCGAUAUGAAGUAUUGAAAUCCAUACCUUGCCUACCUGAACUUACACUGGAAAAUCGGAAAAUGUUCGUUUUGACGUUAGAUUUUACAAUUCCUUUUUCCUGUAUCUUUUGUGCUAUGUUAAUUGUGGUAGCAUCGUUUCUGGUCUUCAUCUUCCUUACCUUUUCGAACAUUUGGUUCGGGGAUGCGUGGGCGGCUUCUAGGCAAACAAUGGUGCUUCAGAGAGCUUUCACGAAAGGCGUCACAGUUCAGACUCUCUACGAAUUUUUUAUACUCUUCAUCCCGGUCGUUACUUGCCUUGGCACAAUAUUUUUCUGGUAUCACAAUCAGGUCAUCAACAAUAUUGCGCUUCUAGUUGUAUCACUAAACGGAAUCGGAUCCACUAUCAUAAUGUUAUUCGCUCAUAAGCCAUAUCGAACUUAUACUCUUUCUAUUUUCUGCUUCCUUUGUCCAAAAGUGACAAAGAAAAGAGAGUCAGUGCAUUUACGGGCACACCAAUUGAGUGCCUUAUCGUGA